Molecule: ribosomal RNA, 423 nt
Filed under: uncultured bacterium
Lineage: Bacteria
Description: bacterial SSU rRNA
Rfam family: Bacterial small subunit ribosomal RNA
Source: RNAcentral
UGAGGAAUAUUGGUCAAUGGGCGCGAGCCUGAACCAGCCAAGUAGCGUGAAGGAUGAAGGUCCUAUGGAUUGUAAACUUCUUUUAUAGCAGAAUAAAGUGACCCACGUGUGGGUUUUUGUAUGUAUGCUAUGAAUAAGGAUCGGCUAACUCCGUGCCAGCAGCCGCGGUAAUACGGAGGAUCCGAGCGUUAUCCGGAUUUAUUGGGUUUAAAGGGUGCGUAGGCGGAAAGAUAAGUCAGCCUGUGAAAGUUUGCGGCUCAACCGUAAAAUUGCAGUUGAUACUGUUUUUCUUGAGUGUACAUAAGGUAGGCGGAAUUCGUGGUGUAGCGGUGAAAUGCUUAGAUAUCACGAAGAACUCCGAUUGCGAAGGCAGCUUACCGGGGUACAACUGACGCUGAUGCACGAAAGUGUGUGUAUCAAACA